This 270-nucleotide ribosomal RNA is filed under the name uncultured bacterium. RNAcentral describes it as "partial 16S ribosomal RNA". It matches the Rfam family "Bacterial small subunit ribosomal RNA", at positions 57 to 305 of the family's 1533-position model. The record is from RNAcentral.
GCAAGUCGAACGGGAUUGUUUAGUUAGCUUGCUAAUUAAACAUGAGAGUGGCGAACGGGUGCGUAACACGUAAAGAACCUACCCUUAUGUAGGGGAUAGCUCACCGAAAGGUGAAUUAAUACCGCAUGUGAACUUUUUCCGCAUGGAGAGAGGAUUAAAGCUGGGGACCUUCGGGCCUGGCGCAUAGGGAGGGCUUUGCGGCCUAUCAGCUUGUUGGUGAGGUAACGGCUCACCAAGGCUAAGACGGGUAGCUGGUCUGAGAGGAUGGCC